Molecule: ribosomal RNA, 503 nt
Filed under: uncultured bacterium
Lineage: Bacteria
Description: partial 16S ribosomal RNA
Rfam family: Bacterial small subunit ribosomal RNA
Source: RNAcentral
AUUGAACGCUGGCGGCAGGCUUAACACAUGCAAGUCGAGCGGGGUGAUGGUGCUUGCACUAUCACUUAGCGGCGGACGGGUGAGUAAUGCUUAGGAAUCCGCCUAUUAGUGGGGGACAACAUCUCGAAAGGGAUGCUAAUACCGCAUACGUCCUACGGGAGAAAGCAGGGGAUCACUUGUGACCUUGCGCUAAUAGAUGAGCCUAAGUCGGAUUAGCUAGUUGGUGGGGUAAAGGCCUACCAAGGCGACGAUCUGUAGCGGGUCUGAGAGGAUGAUCCGCCACACUGGGACUGAGACACGGCCCAGACUCCUACGGGAGGCAGCAGUGGGGAAUAUUGGACAAUGGGGGGAACCCUGAUUCAGCCAUGCCGCGUGUGUGAAGAAGGCCUUAUGGUUGUAAAGCACUUUAAGCGAGGAGGAGGCUCUUUUGGUUAAUACCCAAGAUGAGUGGACGUUACUCGCAGAAUAAGCACCGGCUAACUCUGUGCCAGCAGCCGCGGUAA